UACGUAGGGUGCGAGCGUUGUCCGGAAUUAUUGGGCGUAAAGAGCUUGUAGGCGGUUUGUCGCGUCUGCUGUGAAAACUCGAGGCUCAACCUCGAGACGCCGGUGGAAACCAUCAGACUAGAGUCCGGAAGAGGAGAGUGGAAUUCCUGGUGUAGCGGUGAAAUGCGCAGAUAUCAGGAAGAACACCCGUGGCUAAGGCGGCUCUCUAGUACGGUACUGACGCUGAGACGCGAAAGCGUGGGGAGCGAACAGG
Molecule: ribosomal RNA, 253 nt
Filed under: uncultured bacterium
Lineage: Bacteria
Description: partial 16S ribosomal RNA
Rfam family: Bacterial small subunit ribosomal RNA
Source: RNAcentral